GGGGGAGGGUGGGGGUGGGCCUAACGCAUGGGGGUCGGGCGGCAGCACAGUAAGAGCUUGCUCUUACGGGUGGCGAGUGGCGGACGGGUGAGGAAUACAUCGGAAUCUACUUUUUCGUGGGGGAUAACGUAGGGAAACUUACGCUAAUACCGCAUACGACCUACGGGUGAAAGCAGGGGAGCUUCGGACCUUGCGGGAUUGAAUGAGCCGAUGUCGGAUUAGCUAGUUGGCGGGGUAAAGGCCCACCAAGGCGACGAUCCGUAGCUGGUCUGAGAGGAUGAUCAGCCACACUGGAACUGAGACACGGUCCAGACUCCUACGGGAGGCAGCAGUGGGGAAUAUUGGACAAUGGGCGCAAGCCUGAUCCAGCCAUACCGCGUGGGUGAAGAAGGCCUUCGGGUUGUAAAGCCCUUUUGUUGGGAAAGAAAAGCAGCAGGUUAAUACCCCGCUGUUCUGACGGUACCCAAAGAAUAAGCACCGGCUAACUUCGUG
RNAcentral lists this ribosomal RNA (492 nucleotides) under uncultured bacterium. RNAcentral describes it as "partial 16S ribosomal RNA". It matches the Rfam family "Bacterial small subunit ribosomal RNA", at positions 37 to 507 of the family's 1533-position model. The record is from RNAcentral.